UAAAUCCUUAAGUUGGAACUUAU
This 23-nucleotide small nuclear RNA is filed under the name Arabidopsis thaliana (thale cress). Its description in RNAcentral is "snRNA_14825". Lineage: Eukaryota; Viridiplantae; Streptophyta; Magnoliopsida; Brassicales; Brassicaceae. The record is from RNAcentral.